AACUUCCCCUUAGUAGGGCAUAGCCCGUAGAAAUGCGGAUUAAUACCCUAGUGUUGUAUAUUGAGGACAUCUGAUUUAUACCAAAGGUUCACCGCUAAGGGGAUGGGGAUGCGUCUGAUUAGGUAGUCGGCGGGUAACGGCCCACCGAGCCUACGAUCAGUAGGGGUUCUGAGAGGAAGGUCCCCCACAUUGGAACUGAGACACGGUCCAAACUCCUACGGGAGGCAGCAGUGAGGAAUAUUGGUCAAUGGACGAGAGUCUGAACCAGCCAAGUAAGCGUGCAGGAUGACGGCCCUAUGGGUUGUAAACUGCUUUUAUACGGGGAUAAAGUGAGGGACGUGUCCCUUUUUGUAGGUACCGUAUGAAUAAGGACCGGCUAAUUCCGUGCCAGCCGCUGC
Molecule: ribosomal RNA, 398 nt
Filed under: uncultured bacterium
Lineage: Bacteria
Description: bacterial SSU rRNA
Rfam family: Bacterial small subunit ribosomal RNA
Source: RNAcentral